Myxocyprinus asiaticus (Chinese sucker) is the source of this 322-nucleotide long non-coding RNA. RefSeq lists it as uncharacterized. The record is from RefSeq and is a predicted model, not a curated record. NCBI's taxonomy places the organism in Eukaryota, Metazoa, Chordata, Actinopteri, Cypriniformes, Catostomidae. The transcript has 3 exons.
AUAGCAGAUGUUAAUCUUCAGAUACCUGUGAAAACCAAACACUGCUUUUCUCCAAACCCUGAAGAAAUAAGACUGAACUUCAUCCUCAGUCUACUUUGACUGAACUAGAAUAUUAUGUGGAAUAACCGGGGGAAUCUCAAAAGAAGAGGCUGUGUAACGGUUCAUGCAUGGGAGGUUUUUGCAGCUCCUUGGCUAAAGGUGAACUGGUCCGAAGGAUUUUUGUACUCUGUACAGUAAAGAAAAACUAGGGAUGAAGAUGUGGAAAGACAUGUUGUACAAUAACCACGAAAAGCUCCCGAUAGAGAUGGUGGAAGGAGAAAAU